GUCGCGGUUUCAUCUAGGAGGAAGCAGAUAAUAGGCGCGGGCGUGCGUGACUGCAUCGUGGGAGCCUGGGUGUAAGGGCGGUGGUGAUUCAAGAGCACAGACCUGCAGCGUUCAGUGGCCACGGGCCUAUCUCGCCGUUCUGGUAGGCAGGUUCAAGCCGGAGCAAGUAGUGCGGCGUUUGCUGUCCGAAACAGCUAGGAGAUUUAGUUGGCUGUUACAUCUUCAGGGUGCUGCUCAUGAUUAGGCUCCAAGCUGUGGUUCGAAUCAGCACAAGUUCCAGGCCGGUCACUGUUCAGUUCAGUUGCUCACCUGAUAGAUAUCAGGGUUGCAAUCCUCAGAGAUGUUGUUCUCUUGCUGCAAAGUGGUUAAAGAAGUACUGCCCCAGCUAAUCGGCAUUAAUACUGCACAUACAGUUCUGAUCUAAUCAAAGAAAACUGAACUUCAUGAUUAUAUUCGUUUAUUAGGACAAGCAACGUUGAUAACACGCUGUAUUCCUAGAAGAGUUUAGGUUUUCUCAAAAGUAAGAAGGGCCCAGGAUUUUUGUUCCCAUAUGUGGAUAUCGAAUUUCCUUAGGUAUCGUGAAGCAUCGUCUGAGAGAUUUCUCAUUCCCUGUGAUGGGUUCAGCUGGCAAUUCUGUAUAGUAUAUCAGAAGCAGAACAUUGGCCUGAUUAUGAAGAACUUGCAUAAUUUUGUUUAUGUGCAUUAGUUUACCUUUAGUGGAUCUGACCUGCCGCUGCCCAUUAUUCCCUCCCAAGGCAUAAUUAUGAAGAAUUUGCACAGAUUGUUAUUAGUGCAACCAACUCAAAAUUGAGAUUGGAGAUACUUCAUUCUUUCAAUGUCAGUUUGGCUGGACAUGUUGGAAAUUAUCUUUGGUGUCGGCUGCCUGAUGAAAACAGGAGUGGCCUAAACAUGGAUGUCUGUUCACGAAUCGAGAAUUACCUGAGACCUACAGGAG
Long non-coding RNA from Lolium rigidum, 955 nucleotides. RefSeq lists it as uncharacterized. The record is from RefSeq and is a predicted model, not a curated record. Lineage: Eukaryota; Viridiplantae; Streptophyta; Magnoliopsida; Poales; Poaceae. The transcript has 5 exons.